UGCGUCAUGCUUCACAGAAGCUGUUCAAAAUAUUUACUCAGUCAUUUCCUGGUGGAUUCUGUGGUUUUCGGCUGUGAUUAAAGUCUGAGGUUUCAGUAGCCGUCUUCUCCAAGGGUUUAAAUGAAAAAAAUAUGAACUAGGGAUUAAAAUAAUUAUAAAUAUUUCCAGAUCUGGAUCUAGAAUUUCUCUGAUACCUCUGAUAUCUCUGAUUUCAUGUCAGUAAUGUGACAAGAAAACUAAAAUAUAAGGCCAGAAAGAGAACGAAACGCUGCUGAAAGAAAAGAAAAAAUGACAGAUGAAGACAAGCCUGCACUGAAGGAAAAAAACAUUUAACAUAAAAGAAAAUGUCAGUGGAUUCAGAAAACAUCUAACUCUGCAGCUGAAAAACAGUAUGGACAUAUAUCUACCAAAGUUCUCUCUUGAUCCAGACAGACCUGCGGAGAAAAGAGAAAUUCAUGAGAAAGCGCCAGUUUUUCUCAUCAAACUGUUGAAGAUCUAGAACAUCAUCUAGAACAUCAUCUAACAUCUAGAAUGUCAUCUAGAACAUCUAGAACAUUCAACAUCUAGAAUGUUCUUCACGUCACUUUCAGACGGUGAAUCAGAAUGAGACUGGACUAUUAUUUUCUUCUGAAAAUGGUCCUUUUUAAAAUGUUUAUGCAUGGUUAUGACUGUACUGUGUAUAGGCUAUACUUAAACUGAUUUUUAUUUAAUAGUGUGUACACAGCUUUAUAUAUUUUGUCAUAAUGAUCAGACAAUUGAACAGGUAUAGUUCAUGUUGCUCAAACUGUUUAGAAAUAUUAUGCAUGCAAAAUAUAUUAUUAAUGCAAAAUAUUUUCCCUUAAAGGACAAGUUCGGUAUUUUACAAUUAAAGCCACAGAAACCGAAAUUUCUUGGGCCAGCAGCAUGUGUCCAAAUUUUAAUUUUAACCGUUCUAUUUCUUUAGAAACGACCUUGAAAUAGGGCUUUAAGUGUAAAUUACUGAACUUGUCCUUUAAACGUGUCAUUACUUUACUUCCGUUUUGAAGGUAUUUUUAUCUUAAGAACCUUCUAUAACUGGUGUCAAGUGUCUUAUUCAAGUGCACAAUGAUCUCUGUGAUUGAGUUGCAUCAUGAGCUCCUGGUCAGCAGGGAUGAAAUGUCUGUAUUAUUUGGAUUCUGCUGAACACUUUGUGAAGGUCAUGUAAGUGUCAAAGUGUAUUUACAACAUUAAACUCCGUCUGUUUAUACUUGAAAGUGA
Molecule: long non-coding RNA, 1236 nt
Organism: Pimephales promelas (fathead minnow)
Lineage: Eukaryota; Metazoa; Chordata; Actinopteri; Cypriniformes; Leuciscidae
Source: RefSeq, a predicted model, not a curated record